Molecule: ribosomal RNA, 466 nt
Filed under: uncultured bacterium
Lineage: Bacteria
Description: partial 16S ribosomal RNA
Rfam family: Bacterial small subunit ribosomal RNA
Source: RNAcentral
GAUGAACGCUGGCGGCGUGCUUAACACAUGCAAGUCGAACGAUGAAGCCCAGCUUGCUGGGUGGUUUAGUGGCGAACGGGUGAGUAACACGUGAGUAACCUGCCCUUAACUCUGGGAUAAGCCUGGGCAACUGGGUCUAAUACCGGAUAGGAGCGCCUACCGCCUGGUGGGUGUUGGAAAGCUUUAUCGGUUUUGGAUGGACUCGCGGCCUAUCAGCUUGUUGGUGAGGUAAUGGCUCACCAAGGCGACGACGGGUAGCCGGCCUGAGAGGGUGACCGGCCACACUGGGACUGAGACACGGCGCAGACGCCUACGGGAGGCAGCAGUGGGGAAUAUUGCACAAUGGGCGAAAGCCUGAUGCAGCGACGCCGCGUGAGGGAUGACGGCCUUCGGGUUGUAAACCUCUUUCAGUAGGGAAGAAGCGAAAGUGACGGUACCUGCAGAAGAAGCACCGGCUAACUACGUG